ACGUAGGGGGCGAGCGUUGUCCGGAAUUAUUGGGCGUAAAGGGCGCGUAGGCGGCCUGCUAAGUCUGAAGUGAAAGUCCUGCUUUCAAGGUGGGAAGUGCUUUGGAUACUGGUGGGCUGGAGUGCAGGAGAGGAAAGCGGAAUUACCGGUGUAGCGGUGAAAUGCGUAGAGAUCGGUAGGAACACCAGUGGCGAAGGCGGCUUUCUGGACUGAAACUGACGCUGAGGCGCGAAAGCGUGGGGAGCAAACAG
Molecule: ribosomal RNA, 251 nt
Filed under: uncultured prokaryote
Description: partial 16S rRNA
Rfam family: Bacterial small subunit ribosomal RNA
Source: RNAcentral